GACGAACGCUGGCGGCGUGCUUAACACAUGCAAGUCGAACGGAAAGGCCCUGCUUUUGUGGGGUGCUCGAGUGGCGAACGGGUGAGUAACACGUGAGUAACAUGCCCUUGACUUUGGGUUAACUUCCGGAAACUGGGGCUAAUACCGGAAAGGAGCUCCUGCUGCAGGGUGGGGGUUGAUAGGUUUCGGCGGUAGGGGAUGGACUCGCGGCUUAUCAGCUUGUUGUUGGGGUAGUGGCUUACCAAGGCUUUGACGGGAAGCCGGCCUGAGAGGGUGACUGGCCACAAUGGGACUGAGAUACGGCCCAGACUCCUACGGGAGGCAGCAGUGGGGAAUAGUGCACAAUGGGCGGAAGCCUGAUGCAGCAACGCCGCGUGCGGGAUGACGGCCGUCGGGUUGUAAACCGCUGUCGCCUGUGACGAAGCGUGAGUGACGGUAAUGGGUAAAGAAGCACCGGCUAACUACGUG
This 468-nucleotide ribosomal RNA is filed under the name uncultured bacterium. Its description in RNAcentral is "partial 16S ribosomal RNA". It matches the Rfam family "Bacterial small subunit ribosomal RNA", at positions 28 to 507 of the family's 1533-position model. The record is from RNAcentral.